GCCAGAAAGAAGACGGCAUGACACAAAGAGUCAUAAGAUGCGCCCCAGACUCCACCCCCUCCACAGAAGGUGAAUCAUAUCUUGGAGACAGGUGACCUGGCCCUGGUUAAUGAGACACAAGAGGAAGUCUUCUAGGACAGGGGUCACCAACCUAUGUGACUACACAUGAUGUUGGGAGCUGUGUCAUGCAUCUUGUGACCAUAAGAGACAACAACGACAAGCAGAUG
This is a long non-coding RNA of Lemur catta (Ring-tailed lemur), 227 nucleotides long. RefSeq lists it as uncharacterized. The transcript is spliced from 3 exons. The record is from RefSeq and is a predicted model, not a curated record. Lineage: Eukaryota; Metazoa; Chordata; Mammalia; Primates; Lemuridae.